AUUGAACGCUGGCGGUAUGCUUAACACAUGCAAGUCGAACGGUAACAGGCCUUCGGGCGCUGACGAGUGGCGGACGGGUGAGUAACGCGUAGGAAUCUGCUUCAUAGUGGGGGACAACGUGGGGAAACUCACGCUAAUACCGCAUACGCCCUACGGGGGAAAGCGGGGGAUCUUCGGACCUCGCGCUAUGAGAUGAGCCUGCGUUAGAUUAGCUAGUUGGUAGGGUAAAGGCCUACCAAGGCGACGAUCUAUAGCUGGUCUGAGAGGACGAUCAGCCACACUGGGACUGAGACACGGCCCAGACUCCUACGGGAGGCAGCAGUGGGGAAUAUUGGACAAUGGGCGCAAGCCUGAUCCAGCAAUACCGCGUGUGUGAAGAAGGCCCUAGGGUUGUAAAGCACUUUCAAUUGGGAGGAAAAACCUGCCGGUCAAUACCCGGCAGCUUGACAUUACCUUUAGAAGAAGCACCGGCUAACUCCGUGCCAGCAGCCGCGGUAAU
Molecule: ribosomal RNA, 499 nt
Filed under: uncultured bacterium
Lineage: Bacteria
Description: bacterial SSU rRNA
Rfam family: Bacterial small subunit ribosomal RNA
Source: RNAcentral